GUGUUCACUUCGGCAGCACAUAUACUAAAAUUAGAAGGAAACAGAGAUUAGCAUGGCCCCUGUGCAAGGACGACACGUAAAUUUGUGAAGCAUUCCAUAUUUUU
Molecule: small nuclear RNA, 104 nt
Organism: Rhinolophus ferrumequinum (greater horseshoe bat)
Lineage: Eukaryota; Metazoa; Chordata; Mammalia; Chiroptera; Rhinolophidae
Source: Ensembl